GACGAACGCUGGCGGCGUGCUUAACACAUGCAGGUCGAACGGAAAGGCCCUGCUUUUGUGGGGUGCUCGAGUGGCGAACGGGUGAGUAACACGUGAGUAACCUGCCCUUGACUUUGGGAUAACUUCAGGAAACUGGGGCUAAUACCGGAUAGGAGCUCCUGCGGCAUGGUGGGGGUUGGAAAGUUUCGGCGGUGGGGGAUGGACUCGCGGCUUAUCAGCUUGUUGGUGGGGUAGUGGCUUACCAAGGCUUUGACGGGUAGCCGGCCUGAGAGGGUGACCGGCCACAUUGGGACUGAGAUACGGCCCAGACUCCUACGGGAGGCAGCAGUGGGGAAUAUUGCACAAUGGGCGGAAGCCUGAUGCAGCAACGCCGCGUGCGGGAUGACGGCCUUCGGGUUGUAAACCGCUUUCGCCUGUGACGAAGCGUGAGUGACGGUAAUGGGUAAAGAAGCACCGGCUAACUACGUG
RNAcentral lists this ribosomal RNA (468 nucleotides) under uncultured bacterium. RNAcentral's name for it is "partial 16S ribosomal RNA". It matches the Rfam family "Bacterial small subunit ribosomal RNA", at positions 28 to 507 of the family's 1533-position model. The record is from RNAcentral.